UGGACCAGAAGAAGCAGCAGGGACAGGACCAGGGGAAGCAGCAGGGACAGGAGCAGGAGAAGGAGCACUCAGCCAAGCCCCUGCUGCCCAGCACAGCCCCCUUCCUGAGAUGGAGGCCUCAGGUGAAUACAUCUGCCAACUUGCUGAUGUUAUUGUGCUCUGAAGGUAAAUUAUGUGCUAACUCAUUCAUGCUAGUGCACUAACCCUGAAGAUGAUUAUCUCUAUAUACGCUAAUGCUAAUACACACUAAUGCUAGUAAGCUAACCCAGAAAGUGAAUAUCUCUGCUAACCCACCUAUACUAGUAUGCUAACCCUGCACGUUAACAUAUCAGCUAACCUAGUUUGCUAACCUUGAACUUGAAUAUCUAUGUUAAAUCACUGAUGCUAGUGCUCUCGAAUAGCCCAGCUAACUCACUGAUGCUAGUCCAUUAACCCUGAGAGUGAAUAGCUCUUUUAACACACUGAUACUAACACACAAACUCUGGUGAUGGCUAGCUCAGCUAACAGACUGAUGCUAAUUUACUAACCUUGCCUUCUCAAAUAAGAUGUGCCUCAGCAUGUACAGAGAUUCAGGGUUGAAGAGGAGCCGAAAGACCCCAUCACACAGUGUCCAUUAUCUGGCAGUUUUUAUUUCAUUGGUUAAUGAACCUCAAAACCUUUGAAUAUCAUUUUCUUAUCAUUGAUGUCUAUGAACUAAAUAUGCUUAGAUAUAAAUAUGGAACAGUUCUAAGCUUCAGGAAUGUCUCUUUGGUUUGGUCAAACUUGCCCGAGUGUAUGUAGAGUUGGCUUGGGUACCACAUGGUGCAGAUUGACUGGCUUUCAGUUCACCGCUCAGAAAGAGCCUUUAAUGGUCUGGGACUGCUGCCUUCUGGGACUAGUGCAUUGUGAAGGUUCAGGAAAGACCUGUCUGGUUCAGUGUAAAGACCUGCCUGGUUCAGUGGAAAGACCUGCCUGGUUCAGUGUAAAGUUUCUGGAAGGAGCAGUGUGGCUAAAUGCAGUGUCAGGUGGCACUAGCACAACUAAGUUAAGUGUAAAGUUUCAGGUGAAGUGUAAAGUUUCCUAAUGCAGCUUGGUUUAAGUUUCUAGAAAAAAAGUAGUGUGGUUUGGUGUAAAGUCUGUGUGCAGACAGACCUCAGUGCUUGUAAAGUUUGUAAAAUAGGAACCUCUGGUUCGAAGAGCCGCAUCCCUUGUAAAAAAACAGUGGUUCUCAUCCUGGGGGUUACCAGAUUGUGUAAAAAAACAAAAAAACAAAAAAACUAUUUAAAUGUGCCACCAACUCAUUCAAAUGUCACUCAACAACCAUAGGAUGAUAUCAGAUGUGCAGUGGUCUCUUACAUUUUUCCAGAGCUGUAUAUAUCUUCAUUAAACCAUCACUUAACAUACAUUUUGUAUUAUAUUACCAUUACUAACACUAACAUAUAUAAAAGCAUUGUUGUUCACAGUUGGCAGUCUGACCUUAGCUUAGCAUCAACAGCAUGAAUUGGCAAUGCAGGGCUAAUAAUGUUAUGUUGUGGUACAUAACUCUGUGGCUGUGUUGCUCUAUUAGCUGGGUGCUGUUGUUUAUGGUCCAAGACUAAAAUGGAAGCCAUAAUUCUCUCUGUGAGCAGAACAGUACAGGAGGUAUGUAGGUGCAAGGGUACAGGAGGUUUGCAGGGGGUAUGUAGGUGCAAGGGUACAGUGAUAUGUAGGUGCAAGGGUACAGGGGGUAUGUAGGUGCAAGGGGAAGUACAGGGGUAUGUAGGUGCAAGGUGGGGUGAUUGUUCUGGGAGGUCACAAUCACUGUCCUAUAGCACAGUAUAGACAGUGUAUAUAUUAUACACACACACACACACACCUAGGUUCUUCAAGAUAGCUGUUUGCCUGUCCCAUUGUAGUAGUGUAGUGUAAUUCUCUCUCACCCAUGAGAACUGGCCUCUGCAGACAUAGUUACAUGUUUGUGAGUCUGACUGGAUCUUCAUCAACACCAUCAUCAUUAUCAGCUUCAUCCCAGACUCACUGAAAGAUGCAGUCCGCCAUUUUAAUACUCCAGCUGUAUGUUCCAUUUUCUGUGCUAAAAGAACCUUCAGCCGUCUGUUCUGUGUCCCAUACUAAAAGAACCUCCAUUUGUCUGUUCCGUGUUAUGUGCUAAAAGAACCUCCAGUAUUCAUACCCAGUCCUGGCUCAGUCCAACCAUAAACAAUCCCAGCCAAUCAAUACACACUUCUGGAACAUAGAAGUGAGGAGUGUAAUCUGAUUGGUUGUUGAAUUGCCAUGUGCACACUCAUGUCUCAGACUGCCUCUAAUGAGUAAAAUGUUUAACUCUAUUUUAGACUUACGUGGCAAUUUUAAUGUAUUAAAUUAUCAAGUUUACAUAUUAUUUGUUUGCUUGUACAGAUACGUUGUGAUUUCUUAUUUAUAUCCUCUGUUCUGUGAUUCAUGUUUGGUGAUGUUUUGAGAUGUGCUACCCCAUGUAUCCGCCCUGUCAGUUAGUGCUCACCAGGGGGCGCCACAGGACCUAUUUAUCAUCACCAGCUGAGCAAUACUGUAAUGCCUGUGUGCUCUGAACUGUGUAAGAACUACUAGACUGUGUGUGUGUGUGUGUGUGUUUGUGUUUGUUUGUGUGUAUGUGUGUGUGCCUGUAUGUGUGUGUGUGUGUUUCUGUAACCAAACCCCUGCCCCCCACCCAUACAUCACACAUCUCAACAUCCAACACAUAUCUUGAAGGUCACACACACACUGUUACAUUCUGCCUACUAGGCUAUGUAACCAGAGAGGGAAGACCACACGGAUUUUGCCGUAUACAAAUAUGUAUUUAUUUAAGUUAAAGAAUUAACAACGUAGGUUAAGUAAAGUCAGUAUAAAUGAUAGGUUGGGAAAUAAAGGUGUAUGAGAAUUGAGGUGUCGUGCGUAAAGAAACAAAUAGCCAAAAUGGUGCGGGAGAGGAGGACAAUCACAUGCGCGUCGCAUCACACCUGUGGCACACCUGUACUUGGCCCACCUGUAGAGGAGACGCAAGACAGGAAAAGAGCAACAAGGAGGAGGAGCCCGGCAGGUCCGUGACACACACACACUCACCCAUACAUCACACAUCUCAACAUCCAACAGCUAUCUAGAAGGUCACACACACACACACCCAUACAUCACACAUCUCAACAUCCAACACAUAUCUAGAAGGUCACACACACACACACAGACAUCACACAUCUCAACAUCCAACAGCUAUCUAGAAGGUCACACACACACACACCCAUACAUCACACAUCUCAACAUCGAACAUAUCUAGAAGGUCACACACACACACAUACAUCACACAUCUCAACAUCCAACACAUAUCUAGAAGGUCACACCCACACACACUCACCCAUACAUCACACAUCUCAACAUCCAACACACAUCUAGAAGGUCACACACACACACACACACACAUACAUCACACAUCUCAACAUCCAACACAUAUCUAGAAGGUCACACACACACACACACCCAUACAUCACACAUCUCAACAUCCAACACAUAUCUAGAAGGUCACACACACACUCCCUUUCUCCUCUGUGCUCUCUAUAUUUGUUUGACUGAUGACUCAUUUCAGUUAAAUGAUGUAAAACGGUUUAUUUCUGUUCAGAUGCAUAUUUGUAUUCAUGGCUUAAUAGAAAGUUACUGUUUUAAGAAAAGGAUGUUUUAAAGUUUUUACAGCAUUCUUAUUUGUUGUGACGACCGCAUACAAUACUGUGUAAAGCACUCAAAGCAAUGCUUUUCUAAUGCGCACUGAUCCUUCAACAUAGAGUUCCCUUCAGCAUAGAGUUCCCUCCCAGCACACUGACCCUUCAGCAUAGAGUUCCCUCCCAGCACACUGACCCUUCAGCAUAGAGUUCCCUCCAGCAUCUGUGGCCGUAGGGGAGUGUGAGCCGCCAGACUCCACACACUCUUCACACACUCCUGUAAGACUUGCACAGGUCCACACACUCCUGUUCUACUCUGUGCUUCUAACCCCUGAUUUGAUGGGAAUAAAGGGAAACUGCUGAAUGA
This is a long non-coding RNA of Alosa alosa (allis shad), 4005 nucleotides long. RefSeq lists it as uncharacterized. The transcript has 2 exons. The record is from RefSeq and is a predicted model, not a curated record. Lineage: Eukaryota; Metazoa; Chordata; Actinopteri; Clupeiformes; Clupeidae.